ACAAAUUACUAUUAUCAUUAAUAGCAACUGAUCAAAACAAGAAAAACUGAAAUAAAAUUGAAAACUAUUUAUAAAAUGACAUAAAGUAAAUAGCAAAUGAAUUAAAAAGCUAGAAUACAAUUCAAAUAAUACCAAAGACAACAUCCAAAUCACUGAUAUCCAGGGGAAGACAAACAUUGUUAUUAACAAUAAUAUAGUAAUGCUUCAUCUGUUUUGGUUUGAGCAAACCAAAUCCAUCCAUCCAGUCAGAAACCAUCUCCAAUGAUAAAAUAAGGAUUAUAAUAAGAGUAGAUAUAAAAUGAAGAAUGAUAAAAUGAAAAUGAUAUCCAAAUUGUUUUUGGUGAUAUCCAAAAUACCCUUAUUUUUCUAAUGAUUACAUAUAUUUAUUG
Molecule: long non-coding RNA, 389 nt
Filed under: Coffea arabica (coffee)
Lineage: Eukaryota; Viridiplantae; Streptophyta; Magnoliopsida; Gentianales; Rubiaceae
Description: long non-coding RNA (CARA_LNC006273)
Source: RNAcentral